Molecule: ribosomal RNA, 493 nt
Filed under: uncultured bacterium
Lineage: Bacteria
Description: bacterial SSU rRNA
Rfam family: Bacterial small subunit ribosomal RNA
Source: RNAcentral
GGUGGUGCAUGGUCGUCGUCAGCCCGUGUCGUGAGAUGUUGGGUUAAGUCCCGCAACGAGCGCAACCCCUACCCCCAGUAGCCAGCGCGUGGAGGCGGGCACUCUGUGGGGACUGCCAGGGACAACCUGGAGGAAGGCGGGGAUGACGUCAAAUCAUCAUGCCCCUUAUGGCUUGGGCUACACACGUGCUACAAUGGCGUUAACAGAGGGAUGCGAUGCGGCGACGCGGAGCGAACCCCAGAAACAGCGCCCCAGUUCGGAUUGCAGCCUGCAACUCGGCUGCAUGAAGCCGGAAUCGCUAGUAAUCGCGGAUCAGAAUGCCGCGGUGAAUACGUUCCCGGGUCUUGUACACACCGCCCGUCACACCAUGGGAGUUGGGAAUGCCCGAAGUCAGUGGCCCAACCGUAAGGGGGGAGCUGCCGAAGGCAGAUCCGAUGACUGGGGUGAAGUCGUAACAAGGUAGCCGUAUCGGAAGGUGCGGUUGGAUCACCUC